GCUGGGUGUGGCAGUGUGCACCUGUAGUCCCAGCUACUUAGGAGACUGAGAUGGUAGGAGUGCUUAAACCCAGGAGUUUGAGACUGCAGUGUGCUCUGAUAUGACUGUGCCACUGCACUCCAGCCUGGGUGACAGAGCGAGACUCCAUUUAUUUAUUUAUUUAUUUAUUUAUUUAUUUAUUUAUUUGAGACGGAGUCUCGCUCUGUCACCCAGGCUGGAGUGCAGUGGCACAGUCAUAUCAGAGCACACUGCAGUCUCAAACUCUUGGGUUUAAGCACUCCUACCAUCUCAGU
Molecule: non-coding RNA, 293 nt
Organism: Macaca mulatta (Rhesus monkey)
Lineage: Eukaryota; Metazoa; Chordata; Mammalia; Primates; Cercopithecidae
Source: Rfam